Long non-coding RNA from Mycetomoellerius zeteki, 302 nucleotides. RefSeq lists it as uncharacterized. The transcript is spliced from 3 exons. NCBI's taxonomy places the organism in Eukaryota, Metazoa, Arthropoda, Insecta, Hymenoptera, Formicidae. The record is from RefSeq and is a predicted model, not a curated record.
GCCCCUGCAAUCGUGAGCCAUCAAAGUUGCUUCAAUAUAUAAACCUCGCAGAAGGAGUCCGUCAAGGGCACCAGUGGACGUCAUGUCUCCAGAUUACUUCCUUCAAGUUAACGAUAGUCGAUCCGUAACUGGCAUCAGCAAGCAGGCAUCAGUAAUACGAACCGUCUUCCUUAGACACUCACGCGACACGCUGUAUUAUUAGACACCGCAUGGCAUCGAGCGCAAUCUGUAAUGAUAUUUGCCGCUUCUAUCAUUUUGGAUUUCAGUCUGGCCUCGUCAAUGACACCGGCAUUCCAUUGACC